Long non-coding RNA from Gopherus evgoodei (Goodes thornscrub tortoise), 141 nucleotides. RefSeq lists it as uncharacterized. The transcript is spliced from 3 exons. NCBI's taxonomy places the organism in Eukaryota, Metazoa, Chordata, Testudines, Testudinidae. The record is from RefSeq and is a predicted model, not a curated record.
AGUGUAUAUUUUUUAUUACAAAUAUUUGCACUGUAAAAAUGAAGAAAUAGUAUUUUUCAAUUCGCCUCAUUCAAGUACUAUAGUGCAUCUAUUUAUCAUGAAAGUGCAACUUACAAAUGUAGGAUAAUGUACAAUAAAUAC